GGUGGCUCACUGGUAGAGCGCUUGCCUUGCAUGCAAGAGGCCCUGGGUUCGAUUCCUCAGCACCA
This 65-nucleotide transfer RNA is filed under the name Dipodomys ordii (Ord's kangaroo rat). It matches the Rfam family "tRNA". Rfam says of the family: Transfer RNA (tRNA) molecules are approximately 80 nucleotides in length. Their secondary structure includes four short double-helical elements and three loops (D, anti-codon, and T loops). The record is from Rfam by way of RNAcentral. Lineage: Eukaryota; Metazoa; Chordata; Mammalia; Rodentia; Heteromyidae.